Molecule: transfer-messenger RNA, 354 nt
Filed under: Bacillota bacterium
Lineage: Bacteria; Bacillati; Bacillota
Rfam family: transfer-messenger RNA
About the family: Bacterial tmRNA, also known as 10Sa RNA or SsrA, is named for its dual tRNA and mRNA-like properties.
Source: RNAcentral
GGGGGCGUUACGGUUUCGACGGGGAGUGCUGUGAGGGGCGUGGCGAGCCGAGAUCCCACCCGCUCGUUAAACGGUGGAAGCACGAUAAGUGCCGAUAACUCACUAGCAUACGCAGCCUAGUUAACUAGGUUGCCGUCCGACCCGGGCUUAUUCCGGGAGCCUGGCAAGGGCGUCAUUUAAGCCGGGAUGCACGUGCGCCAAUUCUCGGAGGCGCUCGCCAAGAUAAUCGAGAUAGCCCUCGUGCAGCGCGCUCGUGCGCGGUACGUUGGGUGAAAGCAAGUACGCGGGCUACGCUCGUAGAAGCGCGCCAAGUGGUCUUUCCGGACCCGGGUUCGACUCCCGGCGCCUCCACCA